GUAAUAUCGGUGGUUUCCUCGGCUUUUUCUCCAUUGUCGUUUUCUCCUCAGGUUUUUUCUUUCCCUUGACCCUUACACCUUCUUGUGAACUUGAGAUUGAUGCUGAGGCUGGGCAUGCUUGCUUGGUGUUCAAGGUUGUUGUCCGGGCAGCCUUGGAGACCUCUUUUGCAGUAAGCAGAGAAGACCCAGAUGACGGGUGGCCUCGAGGAGGCAGCCUCGCUGUGCGACCAGUGGUACUAGGAAGUGGCGAACCAUUCCCAUCUUGCCGGCGCUCAGGUUUGUAGGCGAAUUGGGCAAAAAAUGCACCAAAAGGUGAACAAUAAUUGGGGUCCUGAUCAAUGAAAUCGGGAUUAGCUAUGGGAGGGAAAAAGCCUUGGGGCAGUGUCUGCUGCUUCUUCAAAACCUUGGAAUUCUUGCUGCGGUUGAUCCUCUUGACACACUGUCUGCCCAUGACGCCACCAGCAGCAGCUUCUUCCCCUGCCCUUGAAUAGACAUCAUUGAGAAAUGGUGUUUCGCCAGAUUGCUCCUGCUCCACCUUCCGCCGCCUAUGUUUCUUCCUUACCGUCGCACCCUCUGUCAUCACCUUCUUUUCCAUCUGCGUGAUUUGUGCCACAGCAGCAGUGGGCACCGAUGGUAUAAUCAUUGCAGCCUCCCUAUCCUUCCUUUUCUUGUGCCUCUUUUCUACCUUCGGCACAGGGUCCUCAAUUAAUGGAGCUGCCGGCAGCGCCUCCUGAUUCUCCCUCUUGCGCUCCUUAUCCUGCAUCACUGUCGCUGCUGUCAUCGCCGAGGUUAGGGUUUCGGGAGCGACUGGGACUGAGGAAGCAGACAUGGAUUCCAGUAUUGCCAAAUGUCGGGGAGACUCCCUCGCUGCCAUCUCCCUUGUCAUCUUCUUCUCAGGCUUUUCUUUCCCUUCGAUCCUUGCCUCUUCUUGUGAAUCUGAGGUUGAUUCUGAGGCUGGGCAUGGUUGCUUGGUGUUCAAGGUUGUUGUCCGGGCAGCCUUGGAGACCUCUUUUGCAGUAAGCAGAGAAGACCCAGAUAACGGGUGGCCUCGAGGAGGCAGCCUCGCUGUGCGACCAGUGGUACUAGGAAGUGGCGAACCAUUCCCAUCUUGCCGGCGCUCAGGUUUGUAGGCGAAUUGGGCAAAAAAUGCACCAAAAGGAGAACAAUAAUUGGGGUCCUGAUCAAUGAAAUCGGGAUUGGCUAUGGGAGGGAAAAAGCCUUGGGGCAGUGUCUGCUGCUUCUUCAAAACCUUGGAAUUCUUGCUGCGGUCGAUCCUCUUGACACACUGACUGCCCAUGACGCCACCAGCAGCAGCUUCUUCCCCUGCCUUUGAAUAGACAUCAUUGAGAAAUGGUGUUUGGCCAGAUUGCUCCUGCUUCACCUUCUGCCGCCUAUGUUUCUUCCUUACCGUCGCACCCUCUGUCAUCACCUUGUUUUCCAUCUGCGUGAUUUGUGCCACUUUUCUUUUCUUGUGCCUCUUUUCUACCUUCGGCACAGGGUCCUCAAUUAAUGGAGCUGCCGGCAGUGCCUCCUGAUUCUCCCUCUUGCACUCCUUAUCCUGCAUCACUGUCGCUGCUGUCAUCGCCGCCGAGGUUGGGGUUUCGGGAGCGACUGGGACUGAGGAAGCAGACAUGGAUUCCAGUAUUGCCAAAUGUCGGGUAGACUCCCUCACUGCCAUCUCCCUUGUCAUCUUCUUCUCAGGCUUUUCUUUCCCUUCGAUCCUUGCCUCUUCUUGUGAAUCUGAGGUUGAUUCUGAGGCUGGGCAUGGUUGCUUGGUGUUUGAGGUUGCUGUCCAGGCAGCCUUGGAGGUCUCUUUUCCAGUGAGUAGAGAAGACCCAGAUGAUGGGUGGCCUCGAGGAGGCAGCCUCGCUGGGCGAUCAGCGAUAUUAGCAGGUUUGUAGGCGAAUUGGGCAAAGAAUGCACCAAAAGGUGAGGAAUAAUUGGGGUCCUGAUCAAUGGAAUUGGGAUUGGCCAUGGGAGGGAAAAAACCU
This 1991-nucleotide long non-coding RNA is filed under the name Zea mays. RNAcentral's name for it is "long non-coding RNA (ZMAY_LNC003568)". Lineage: Eukaryota; Viridiplantae; Streptophyta; Magnoliopsida; Poales; Poaceae. The record is from RNAcentral.